GGUGUACUCCCUCCGUCUCCAAAUACUUGUCGGAGUAAUACAUAAAAAUGGAUGUAUCUAGAACUAAAAUACGUCUAGAUACAUCCAUUUCUCGGACAAGUAUUUCCGGACGGAGGGAGUACUUA
This is a non-coding RNA of Triticum aestivum (bread wheat), 125 nucleotides long. The record is from Rfam. NCBI's taxonomy places the organism in Eukaryota, Viridiplantae, Streptophyta, Magnoliopsida, Poales, Poaceae.